RNAcentral lists this long non-coding RNA (1259 nucleotides) under Papio anubis (olive baboon). RNAcentral's name for it is "lncRNA (ENSPANG00000048903.1)". The record is from RNAcentral. Lineage: Eukaryota; Metazoa; Chordata; Mammalia; Primates; Cercopithecidae.
CUUCACUUCUCAUCCAACUUCAAUAACUCAAGAUUGAGUGCAUUUGGGGUUUUGACCUUGCACUGCUAUACCGAGAUUCAGCAGAGGCUAACUACCCCCAAGACUCCUUCCAGAGAACUGGGACCUCAGGAUCAUCUUCAACACCUUCACAGAGAGUACGGAGACAAAGCCCUUGCCACAGAGACCCGCCAUGCCACAACACCAGGUGGAAACGCACCAUUGCUUGAGUUGGUCCACCAUGAAAGUUGCCAUAGAAGCCUGAAGUUACCACAGCUUAUAAGGAAGUGGUUAUUGAUUAUGACGGAUGGAGAAAGUGUAAGCUGCCUGUGUUUCAUUCAGACUCAGACUAGCUCUGGUUAGAGACGUCAACUCAAAGGAGGAAAAGAGGAAGUUCUGCAAAAAUAAAUUCAAGGGUCAACUAGCAGUGGAUAAAAACACAACUAUGAUCUCUGUGACUCUUUCCUCUUUUAUCUGACAUUUUUUCACUUCUGCAUGAUAAAGAAAAUAGAGACAUGGCAUGCUGGAAAGAAAACUAAAGCUGUUUCUUUAAUUAAGUCCACUAACCUCGGAAGGAAGUCUGAAGUGUUCUUGUGGCAUCGACAGACGAAUGAUAGUAACUGCUAAGACAGAAACUACUUGGAAAAACUGUUGAUUUUAGAUUCAGAGAAAAUGAAUAAGGAAAAGUUAAAGAUUGAUGAGAAAGGGAUAAAAUGUGCUAUGAGAAUUUUUUCUAAAAUUCAUGUUUAAAAAAAAAUGAGUUUAUAAUGGAUUUUAGGUGAAAUUCCUUUAAUAAAGAGUUACAUGUUUCCUGACUAUGUAUAAGAAAUUCAUGAUUGUGACUCUGAGAGACUUGAAUAAAAGGACCCGCAUGUCUUUUGCCCUGUGAUGGCCUGCCUAAAUUGCAGGGCUAUAAAAAGGAAAACCACCUUUAAAAGUUUCAUCCCUAAGUUGACUUUGUCUUACAGAAGAAUUUCAUGUGCAUGCUAAAACACAUACAUAUAGCAUAGAAUGUAUAUAUAAUUUCCUGAUAAAAUCUUCUGUUUUAGUGUACUUACAUCUGGGUACAUAACCUCCCCAUAUCUCUUUGGUAUUCUUAUUUGUUCUGCUUUUCCAUUUUACAUAUUUUCCCCUAAGUGCCAAACAUUAAUAAAAUUGCUAGCAUUGAUUAUUUUUCCUUCACUAAUACAUCCCUUUGAGCCUGUUUCCCCAGCAACAAAUAACUGGGGACAACCUACCCUUUGCUGACACAUGAGAAUCCU